GCUUUGGUGGUGUAACGGUUCAGCACACGCUCUCGGAAAGAGUGACAUCUGGGUUCGAAUCUCGGUUGACGCA
Parelaphostrongylus tenuis is the source of this 73-nucleotide non-coding RNA. NCBI's taxonomy places the organism in Eukaryota, Metazoa, Nematoda, Chromadorea, Rhabditida, Metastrongylidae. The record is from the annotation of a GenBank genome assembly.